This 496-nucleotide ribosomal RNA is filed under the name Chalepus walshii. Its description in RNAcentral is "partial 16S ribosomal RNA". It matches the Rfam family "Archaeal large subunit ribosomal RNA", at positions 1917 to 2662 of the family's 2987-position model. Lineage: Eukaryota; Metazoa; Arthropoda; Insecta; Coleoptera; Chrysomelidae. The record is from RNAcentral.
GUCUUCAUGAUUAUAUAUGAAGUCUGGCCUGCCCACUGAUACGUUUAAUGGCCGCAGUAUUUUGACUGUGCUAAGGUAGCAUAAUCAUUAGUUUCUUAAUUAGAAGCUGGAAUGAAGGGUUGGAUAAAAAAACAACUGUUUCUUUUUAAUUGUUUUAGAAUUUUAUUUUUAAGUUAAAAAGCUUAAAUUUUAUUUAGGGACGAGAAGACCCUAUAGAGUUUAAUAUUUUUUUUAUAAUAUAAUUUUAGUAUUAACUAUUUUAUAAAAAAUUUAUUUGGUUGGGGUGACUAUAUAAUUUAAUAAACUUAUAUUUUUUUAUUCAAUAAUUAUUGUAUUUUUGAUCCAAAAAAAUGAUUAAAAGAUCAAAUUACCUUAGGGAUAACAGCGUUAUUUUUUUUAGAGUUCAUAUCAAAAAAAAAGAUUGCGACCUCGAUGUUGGAUUAGAAUUAAUAAUUGGUGUAGGAGCUAAUUAAUUAAGUCUGUUCGACUUUUAAAA